This 586-nucleotide ribosomal RNA is filed under the name uncultured Glomeromycotina. Its description in RNAcentral is "LSU rRNA". It matches the Rfam family "Eukaryotic large subunit ribosomal RNA", at positions 204 to 637 of the family's 3401-position model. The record is from RNAcentral. Lineage: Eukaryota; Fungi; Glomeromycota.
CAUGGAGGGUGAGAAUCCCGUCCGGUUGACCUUCAGGACGUUUUACGAUACGCUCUCAAAGAGUCGAGUUGUUUGGGAUUGCAGCUCAAAAUGGGAGGUAAAUUUCUCCUAAGGCUAAAUACAGGCGAGAGACCGAUAGCGAACAAGUACCGUGAGGGAAAGAUGAAAAGAAUUUUGAAAAGAAAGUUAAACAGUACGUGAAAUUGUUGAAAGGGAAACGAUUGAAGCCAGUCGUACCGACGGGAAAUCAACUUCUCGAGUGCCUAUCGUGGGUGACGUUGAGCUUCACGGCCUUCGUUGCUUGUGUUGUUGGUGCUUUUGGGGUGUACUUUUCCGUAUGGUAGGUCAUCAUCGAUUUUGAUCGUCAUAAAAUGAUCGGGGGAAUGUAGCUUCGGUCUCGUAUCGGAGUGUUAUAGACCUUGGUAGAUGUGACGAUUGGGAUCGAGGAUUGCAACGAAUACCCUUUUGGGCUAUCCGUCUGUCCUCUGAAAGUCGCUCGGGGGUCGAAAGCGUGCUUAUGAUCAUUCGAGUUGGCGGUCAACAGGAUAGAACGUGAUUAUAUUCGUUAAGGAUGUUGACGUAAUGG